This 252-nucleotide ribosomal RNA is filed under the name uncultured bacterium. RNAcentral's name for it is "partial 16S ribosomal RNA". It matches the Rfam family "Bacterial small subunit ribosomal RNA", at positions 524 to 776 of the family's 1533-position model. The record is from RNAcentral.
UACGUAGGUGGCAAGCGUUGUCCGGAAUUAUUGGGCGUAAAGCGCGCGCAGGCGGAUCAGUCAGUCUGUCUUAAAAGUUCGGGGCUUAACCCCGUGAUGGGAUGGAAACUGCUGAUCUAGAGUAUCGGAGAGGAAAGUGGAAUUCCUAGUGUAGCGGUGAAAUGCGUAGAUAUUAGGAAGAACACCAGUGGCGAAGGCGACUUUCUGGACGAACACUGACGCUGAGGCGCGAAAGCCAGGGGAGCGAACGGG